This 249-nucleotide unclassified non-coding RNA is filed under the name Leguminivora glycinivorella. RNAcentral's name for it is "cuticle protein 1-like, transcript variant X1". The record is from RNAcentral. Lineage: Eukaryota; Metazoa; Arthropoda; Insecta; Lepidoptera; Tortricidae.
ACUUGAGGGCGAAUUAGGCCCCCGUUCAGUGGAACACGGAGGCCGUGCGUCAGUCCGCUGAGGCCGCUGGGGAUAUCAAUGAGAACGCUUACUGGAACGGUGUUGCUGCUUCCCAGAACGUGGUCGCCGCCGCCCAAUCGCAAGCCGCCGCUCUCAGCGGAGUAGCCGCCGGCCGCGCUGGCCUCCUCGGCGCUCACAUCGCCCCCAUUGCCCCCAUCGCCCCCUACGGAGCGUGGGGCGCGCCCCUCA